UUCGAUGAAGACCGUUUCAGGUUUCAUUCAUAUGAAGAUUUUGAAGCUAACUGUGAUAUCAAAGGUGACCUCUACGAUGUUGUGGGCCACAUGAAGCUGGUCAAUGGACAUACUCUUAUUGAGCGUCCCACACCUGAUGAAGUGAAGAUCGAUACCACUCGACACAUUAUGGUUCAUGUGCAAUCGCAUGACGGACCUGUCAUGAAGCUCUACCUUUGGGACCAGGCUGCAGCAGACUUCUGCAAGAAGUUUAACUCAUAUGACAACACUCCCACAGUGCUUUUGGUCACAGCUGUUAACACCAAACGUCUCG
Molecule: long non-coding RNA, 313 nt
Organism: Brassica oleracea var. oleracea
Lineage: Eukaryota; Viridiplantae; Streptophyta; Magnoliopsida; Brassicales; Brassicaceae
Exons: 3
Source: RefSeq, a predicted model, not a curated record